Lactuca sativa (garden lettuce) is the source of this 960-nucleotide long non-coding RNA. RefSeq lists it as uncharacterized. The record is from RefSeq and is a predicted model, not a curated record. Lineage: Eukaryota; Viridiplantae; Streptophyta; Magnoliopsida; Asterales; Asteraceae.
UUCAAAAUUUGAAACGUUUUUUAUACAAAUACGCACACCAAGUAUUCUUAAAUGUGGCAUAUAUCGACCCUGGUCUUCAUCUUCACCCAAUUAGUCAGUCAAUCCGAGAUUCAGUGGGAGACACGUUCAAAUUGAAAUUGGAAGAACUUACGAUCUCUUUUUCGCCUCUCAGUUUGCCACAUCACUUCCGCCCCCAUUUUUCCGGUAUCUCAAGCAAUGAAUCCCACUAAGAACCGGUAGUCUGGUACUUCCUUCUCCUCUCUACCAAACCACCGAUGCACCAACACCUCUUUCUUCUCUCUCUCUCUCUCUAUUACUCUAUCAAAGAAACCCUAAUUAUGGAAUUUCAAAGCAACCACCACCACCGUCUGCACUGCCACUGAACAGCUACCACAACCACCACCAAUUUUCUCUGUAAGAAAGGCCUUAAUCAAUUGCCAUUUCAUGUAUUAGAAUGAAGGUUCUUGUAGCAAAAUUUGAAGGUGCUGUCAAUUUCUAGGGUGAACGAAACUUUAACAGAUUUGGAGGUGGCUUGGAAAGAACUCUACCAUGGGAAAGAAUCAUAGGCUUCUUGAAGAUGCUCGUAUUCAUCUUUUAGCUUAUCUACAAUUCUAUUUGGGCAGGUCGACCCUGUGUCUCGAUUAUCUGUCUCUUGUACUUAAGCACAUGAAUGAUCCAUGAAAGACACUGCUAAAGGUACAAGUGAUUUUUUUACUUUUAAUUUAAUAAUGAUUUGGAUAAAUGGCAGGAUGAAAGUAUUGAAAAGGUUGUGGAAUUUAUGGAUGCAUACUUCAUUAGUCAGGAGAAUUUUGAUUCAGUGAUGCUCAUGUCCAGGUCUCAGGGGAGGCUGAAUUUACUUGAGGUUAUGCAACUUGCUGUGAAAGCUGCACUUAUAAAGGCGUACAAUAAAGGAAGCAAGACACGGGUGAUACGAAGAGCAGAUUUGAUCACACUUCCAGG